AGGACGAACGCUGGCGGCGUGCUUAACACAUGCAAGUCGAGCGGAAAGGCCCUUCGGGGUACUCGAGCGGCGAACGGGUGAGUAACACGUGAGUAAUCUGCCCCUAGCUCUGGGAUAGCUCCGGGAAAACCGGGAUUAAUACCGGAUACGACCACUUUAGACAUCUGUUGUGGUGGAAAGAAUUUUGGCUAGGGAUGAGCUCGCGGCCUAUCAGCUUGUUGGUGGGUAACGCCUACCAAGGCGACGACGGGU
Molecule: ribosomal RNA, 252 nt
Filed under: uncultured bacterium
Lineage: Bacteria
Description: partial small subunit ribosomal RNA
Rfam family: Bacterial small subunit ribosomal RNA
Source: RNAcentral